CUAGUACGGCGGAGUUGAUCCUGGCUCAGAAUGAACGCUAGUAGUAUGCUUUACACAUGCAAGUCGAGCGGGAAUUUAUUUUCUCGUGGCGAACGGGUGAGUAUUCGCAGAAUUUUUCCUUUCAAUCUAGGACAAAGGUCUACUUGAUUAGAUCAAAAUACUGGAUAUUCAAAAGGUUAACUCCGUUGAAAGAUAAAUCUGCAUAAGAUUAGGUUGUUGGUGAAUUAAAAGCUUACCAAGCCCGCGAUCUUUAGUUGGUCUUAGAGGAUGAUCAACCACACUGGAACUGAAAUAAGGUCCAGGCUGACACGUCGGCCAGCAGUGAGGAAUAUUGGACAAUGAACGAAAGUUUGAUCCAGCAAUACUAACUGGGUGAUGACGGCUUAUUUAAGUUGUAAGAUCCUUUAAUUAAAGAAGAUAAUGACAUUAUUUAAUUGAAUUUUAGUCCUGGCUAAUACUCGUGCCAGCAGCCGCGGUAAUACGGGAAGGGCA
RNAcentral lists this ribosomal RNA (492 nucleotides) under uncultured bacterium. RNAcentral describes it as "bacterial SSU rRNA". It matches the Rfam family "Bacterial small subunit ribosomal RNA", at positions 1 to 536 of the family's 1533-position model. The record is from RNAcentral.